CCUACGGGCGGCUGCAGUGGGGAGGCUUCCACAAUGGACGAAAGUCUGAUGGAGCGACGCCGCGUGCGGGAUGAAGGCCGUGAGGUCGUAAACCGCUGUCAGCAGGGAAGAAUGCCCGAAUGGCGAAUUCGGGAGGGACGGUACCUGCAGAGGAAGCCCCGGCUAACUCCGUGCCAGCAGCCGCGGUAAUACGGAGGGGGCAAACGUUGUUCGGAAUUACUGGGCGUAAAGGGUGCGUAGGCGGUUCGGCCAGUCUGAUGUGAAAGCCCAUUGCUCAACAAUGGAUAUGCAUUGGAAACUACCGAGCUCGAGAGCGGAAGAGGCAGGUGGAAUUCCUGGUGUAGCGGUGGAAUGCGUAGAUAUCAGGAAGAACACUCGUGGCGAAGGCGGCCUGCUGGUCCGUUUCUGACGCUGAGGCACGAAAGCCAGGGGAGCGAACGGGCUUAGAUACCCCAGUAGUC
Molecule: ribosomal RNA, 461 nt
Filed under: uncultured bacterium
Lineage: Bacteria
Description: bacterial SSU rRNA
Rfam family: Bacterial small subunit ribosomal RNA
Source: RNAcentral